This 490-nucleotide ribosomal RNA is filed under the name uncultured bacterium. Its description in RNAcentral is "bacterial SSU rRNA". It matches the Rfam family "Bacterial small subunit ribosomal RNA", at positions 15 to 518 of the family's 1533-position model. The record is from RNAcentral.
GAUCAUGGCUCAGGACGAACGCUGGCGGCGUGCCUAACACAUGCAAGUCGAACGGAGUAAGAAUUCGGUUUUUACUUAGUGGCGAACGGGUGAGUAACGCGUGAACAACCUGCCUUCCUGAGGGGGAUAACACCUGGAAACAAGUGCUAAUACCGCAUAAGACCACAGAGGCGCAUGCCUCAGGGGUCAAAGGAGUGAUCCGCAGGGAGAGGGGUUCGCGUCCCAUUAGCUAGUUGGCGGGGCAACGGCCCACCAAGGCGACGAUGGGUAGCCGAGCUGAGAGGCUGAUCGGCCACACUGGAACUGAGACACGGUCCAGACUCCUACGGGAGGCAGCAGUGGGGAAUAUUGGGCAAUGGGCGAAAGCCUGAACCCCAGCAACGCCGCAUGAGGGAAGAAGGUCUUCGGAUUGUAAACCUCUGUCCUAUGUGACGAAGGAAGUGACGGUAGCAUAGGAGGAAGCCCCGGCUAACUACGUGCCAGCCGCCGC